CAGCUUCAAAAUACAAUUUUGCCAUUUGUGUAUCUACGGUAUUUUAUUGCAAGUUUAAUUUCCUCGUCACGCAAAAAGCUGCUGUUUUAUGUGCAGCUUGAUGCAUAAUUCACAAAAAAAUGGAAUUGACUUUGACUGUACUUGUAUUGCUGUUGCUUUUAACAGCCAAAUGCGAUUCAUGUCCUGGUCGAUGCAAGUGCUGCCUGACUGACAGAUGUAGUGCAACUUCAAAGGGGGACCAGGUGUGUUUAGAUGGCUGCAAGGAUGGCUAUCAUCAACCUCGUUGCAUGUGGCUAUGUUCAGGAAACUGUCAGUCUUGUCGCCAAGCUGACGGCUUAUGUCAGUCAUGUAAACCGGGAUUUCGCGAACUAUCUAGCAAUUGUUCAAAAGCAUGUGUUAACAGAAACUGCGCGUGUGC
Molecule: long non-coding RNA, 418 nt
Organism: Mya arenaria
Lineage: Eukaryota; Metazoa; Mollusca; Bivalvia; Myida; Myidae
Exons: 3
Source: RefSeq, a predicted model, not a curated record